GGCGCUAUAGUGUAGUGGUUAUCACUUGGGAUUCUGAUUAGUCAGCGGUUCCCAAGACCCAGGUUCGAUCCCUGGUAGUGCCU
Non-coding RNA from Cerioporus squamosus, 83 nucleotides. Lineage: Eukaryota; Fungi; Basidiomycota; Agaricomycetes; Polyporales; Polyporaceae. The record is from the annotation of a GenBank genome assembly.